This 429-nucleotide ribosomal RNA is filed under the name Bacteroidota bacterium. RNAcentral's name for it is "Bacteroidetes bacterium partial 16S ribosomal RNA". It matches the Rfam family "Bacterial small subunit ribosomal RNA", at positions 355 to 776 of the family's 1533-position model. The record is from RNAcentral. Lineage: Bacteria; Pseudomonadati; Bacteroidota.
UAGGGAAUCUUCCGCAAUGGACGCAAGUCCGACGGAGCAACGCCGCGGGAGUGAAGAAGGAUUUCGGUUCGUAAAACUCUGUUGUUAGAGAAGAACAGCGACUAGAGUAAUUGUUAUGCGUGUGACGGAAUCUAACCAGAAAGCCACGGCUAACUACGUGCCAGCAGCCGCGGUAAUACGUAGGUGGCAUGCGUUGUCCGGAUUUAUUGGGCGUAAAGCGAGCGCAGGCGGUUAAUUAGUUCUGAUGGGAAAGCCCCCGGCUCAACCGGGGAGGGUCAUUGGAAACUGGUUGACUUGAGUGCAGAAGAGGAGAGUGUAAUUCCAUGUGUAACGGUAAAAUGCGUAGAUUUAUGGAGGAACACCAGUGGCGAAGGCGACUCUCUGGUCUGUAACUGACGCGGGGUGUCGAAAGCGUGGGUAGCAAACAGG